CACUUUGCCUCUGGCCCAGUUGGCAGCUGAAGGAGAGAACUCGGAGCCUAGCACUCUAUUGACGCGCACCUUACCCAAGUGUUCUAUGGGUGGUCACCUCGUAUCUCCAGAAGGACCUUCUGUGAUCCUGCAGACCCUGUGCUCCUUUCUGGGGAUCCUGACCUCCAUCUGCAGGCCUGGCCAUCAGAGGAAGGCCGCACUGUCUUCUUACACCUUCGAGAUGUCCUGCAGCUCAACAUCUGCCAUGGGCAAAGUCACUCUCUGUGAGGUCCAGGAGCAGGGAGUCACUCCGAUGCCACCCACAACACCCAGGUGUGCCCAAGACUCCUGCAGAGAGAAAAUCAUGUUAGGGGCGCUGAGAGAGAGCAGGAAAGAGAUGGCCAAGCAGGAGGAAGACCCCACAGUCAUAGAGAGGCAGGAUGAUCACGGAAGGGGCCCUGACGACACUGGGGAUGCAGUCUGCUUUCAGGCCCCUAGGGGUCCAUGGAGACCUCUGUUCCUUUGUCCCCAGGCCCAGGCCUCUGCAGAGAAACCUCCAUGCUACGAGCUCAGAAGACAGAUCCAUCCGGAAAUCCCAGACUUCGUGUAUGAGCUCCUGCCCCAAAUGAAAUGCCAUCAGUAGCUCAUACAGCUCCACCCGAGGGUUCCCGCCGGUGCAGAAGAGGAGGGGCCCAGUCACAUCCCACACCCGGCUUCCCCAGAGGGCCUCCAAGGAAGUGAUCCAGGAGGGCUCUGGUCUCCCUCUGCAGCCUCGGGGCUUUCCCACAGGAAGACUCAGCAUAGAAAGGAUGCGGAGGCCAUGACAGGGCAGACACAAACCUGGGGGAACUGCUCAUCCACAUCUGACACCCGAAAAUGCAAGAUUCCUCUGGUGCCACGCAGGCGAGGGGACCCUCUGAGGCUGCCACCACCACCUAAGAUGAGUUUUCCACUCGCCGCUGAAGACCUAGACUCAGAGAAGGAAGCAGCGCUCCGGCGCAUCAACAGCGCAUUGUGGGGUGAGCAUGAGGCCAUCUGGGACCGCGGCGCCCUGUCCUGUGCCGUCCCCCUGCCUGCUGCAGGGGCUGCUCCUCCACUAGCCGUCCUCCAGCCCCCAGCAUGACCCACAGCUGGAGAAACGCUGGAAGAUCCAGGACUCCCCGGGCCCUGUGGCCGUCCUGGGAUCCGGAGUGGCUGCUUCUGUGCAUCCUUGAAUUGGAGGAGGCACAGUUCACCAGGCUCCUCUUGUCCCCCAGAGACCCUUCCAGGUGCCUCUUCACACUCACUGCCUCAGCCCCCUGCACCUUGCUGACCCCUGCUGCCUCCCCAGGAUCAGGCAGGGCUGACCUGUCUGCUAGGCCCCCGAACACCUCCCUCUCUGCUCCCAUCCCUGCACGAGGCGUGGAGUCUGCCGAUCAGAAGCCCGACUUCUCCGGGGCCUGCCCCUGCGGCUGCUGCAGCGUCCCCUCCCCUUCAUGCUGAAGUCUACCGGGGGCCCUCUGAAUCGGGGGAGGAGGCCAUGUGCAAGCCAAGGCCUCAGUCACAGCUGCAGCAGAUGCCAGUUCUGCCUCCCCUGCAGCUCCCAGCACCUCCAGAAUGGAGUCCCCCGCACCCAGGUGCAUACACUCUCCUGUUUCCCCCUCACAGAGCCCCCUCCCAUCACUGAUCCCAGUGCCCCUCCCUCCACCGACCUGCCAAUCACUCCUGCUCUCUGUUCCAGCCCCUCCACCAGCACAUCUGCAGGCCUGGCUCCCCAGCCAGCUUCUGACACUGAGCUCAUCCCCAUGGACACCAAGCCAGCUCCCCAGCUUCUCCUCUUGGGGUCUCGCCCUGGCUCCAGUGGGAACUUCUUCCCAUCUGCCCAGGUGCUUCAGACGCCCCCCGGUGACAGCACGGCCUCAGCCACAGUCACCACUAGCCUACCUGCACUCAGGUUCUGUGGCCUCACCCCAACUCUGAAACUUCCUGUUAACCCUGGAGCCACUGCCCAGCCCAUAUUUGGGGCCCCUGAGGGGCAGCAGCACAGAGUCACCACAUUUCACUGCUCUCUCCAGCAUGGAAAACUGGCAGCUCCAGCCCCAGCCCAGGCCCCAGCCUCUGCUCCAGCCCCUUCAAGUCAGGGGUUUUGGCAGCACCCAAGGGCUUUGGGAGCAGAGGAGCUGUCUCCGAUCUAAUCUGUUCUUUUGGGGGCAAUCAGCGUUACAGCACAGACAAGUGGGGCCCCAAGCAUCACUGAAUGCCUGGAGUUCCCCUCUCCGGAGCACCCCCAUGGUGACCACACGACCCAGCACUAAGGAGAACCCUGGGUUUGGAGGCGCUGCUGACCCUGCCUUAAGUCAUGUCCCCAGGGGCCAGCCCAGGCAGAGCCCCCUCACUUCCAGCCGAGGGCCCAGGAUCACUGCUGAGAAGGCUGCCUUCAGAGGAGCGAAUACCAUCCUGACUUCUGCUUCCAGCAGCCCUGCCUCUGUGGUGGACUUGGCGAGGAGCUGGCGUGCCAUCUUGGCCCCCUCAUCACCUGUCCAGGGCUUGGUUGGACAGAAAACCAUUGGGCCAUCAACCAAGUCAUUUUCCUCUAGAUCAGGAUCCACUCCCUUGGAGUCUAAGAGGGGAAAAUGGCCUGAGUGAACUGCUUUCAUGAGAAUUAGCCCGUGUCCACCUCUUCCCAGAGUGGACCACGAGUGUGGCCUCAUUUAGAUCUGAAACUCAAGGGGAGCCCUGACUUCUGUGACCCUGGAGCAAACUGGGUGCCAGAGACGCAGCAUUCUAGUCCCACCCUCUGCCCUGCAGUCCUCCCCAAAGUUGGUGGUUUGAGGCUGUCGUCCAUCCCGCUGGCCAGAGUCCUCAGGACAGCAGACAGAGGUGUGUGGCCAGCUUCCCUCCAGUCCUGGAGCACGGGCGAUGCCCUCUGCUGCCUAACGUUGACCAUUCCCCUCUCCCCGUCUUCCUCCCAGAAGCCUUGUGUCUUAUAAUAAAGUCUUGUUCUUGCUCCUCUGCGUAAUUCUCCUGCGUCUGUGCUCUGGAGAUGAAGUGUGGAAAAACACUGGCUUGUGUGUGUGGUGACACGGGAGGCCAGACCUAACUCUUUAAAGGUUCCUGCAGCCCAGCUAAUGGGGUGUGGAGAGGAGCACAAUUUGAUGGCUACAAGGACUGACAAAUAUUAAAGGGAUGAAAGAGAACUAUUGGCAGAGGAAACAAGCUAAAAUUAGUCCAUUUUAAUUGUAAAAGAUGAAAAGACUUGCGGUCUGUGAUCCAAUACACAUGGAGCUUAGAGAUCAGCACUCCAGUCAUCACAACAAAAGGAAAACUCAACGAAGUGAAAAUCAACAAUUCUUAAGUCUGUCAGAGAAUUGAGGUCACAGAGCAAACUAUCAGCACGAAAAUUGGAGACAGGUGAAUACAGAGCGUUGCGGCUUAAUGGAACCGGGGCCUCUGCUGGAGCCAGGGUCUGAGUAGCAAAGCAAACUGUCACUGAUGAAUUUCUGGAGGCUCAGUGUGGACGAGCUUGAGAGUUAAACACCCAGGGGAGCCCCGUCUUAUGGGGCCUCCACACUUGCCUGAGUUUUACAUCCAGGAGCCCGGUCACAUUCUCAGGGUGAGGAUCAAAGAGGACUUGUUCACGCUUCUGGCAGGGAGAGCAGCAAAGCAGCCAUUUGAGACACACCCAGCACGGUCUGUUGUCCCUAAGAAAGCCUUCAGUAGAGGGAAACUUUCACCAGAGCAGCCGCCUUGGCUUCUAUCAGAGCGUAACCGGCCUGGGUAAAGGGAAUACCCAUACCUAGUGACCUCUAGCUCUCCAUGUCGGGAAGGGAACUGCCCAAGUGCAGCUCCCUCUGGCAUUCUCUCACCUGACAGGGAAAAAAUCUGAGAAGCACUUGUAAAGGUCAAAUCCCAAGGACACACAUCAUCUACAGACAGAUCUAACCGUAGAACCAGAGAGCACCUCUCCUUCCCCCACGGCCUCCCACCACGUCAACAGGCCUCCCGGACCAAAACACCAUCUCAAUUGGAGAAACCGC
Molecule: long non-coding RNA, 3995 nt
Organism: Equus caballus (horse)
Lineage: Eukaryota; Metazoa; Chordata; Mammalia; Perissodactyla; Equidae
Source: Ensembl